Molecule: long non-coding RNA, 1022 nt
Organism: Oncorhynchus tshawytscha (Chinook salmon)
Lineage: Eukaryota; Metazoa; Chordata; Actinopteri; Salmoniformes; Salmonidae
Source: Ensembl
GGGGCUCUACCAGCGACACAGACUCUACCUACUGAGCUACACAGGCUCAACCUACUGAGCUACAGGGGCUCUACCAGUGACACAGGCUCAACCUACUGAGCUACAGAGGCUCUACCAGAUGGUGUCAUACAGCAAUGUCUCAUGUUGAAGGAUGCUCUUCAACCCCACAUCCCCUUGACUUCCACUCCUCCCUCCUUCAACACCUCCGCUCUCUCUCCUCCCAGGUAUGUUACCCCAUACAAACAAGAUAAAGCAAUGUCUCAUGUUGAAGGAUGCUCUUCAACCCCACAUCCCCUUAACUGCCACUCCUCCCUCCUUCAACACCUCCUCCUCUCUCUCUCCUCCCAGGACACCAUACAUACACAGUGUGUGUGUGUGAGGAGACAUCUGAGGCUCAUAUUGUUCUUGUUUCCCAGAAUUCCAUGCUGCUCGCUCCCGGUGCUUAACAUAGUUGGCAGUUCUCUUCAUCCUCCUAACUACACAGUAUGGCCUUUUUUUUUUUUUUUUUUUUAAAAGACGGCCAGACCAGGUGCAUAUUCUCUUCCAGAUCCAACUCUGUUCUGUUCUUGUGCUGAAGCUCUGUCCAGCACCACUGCUCAAGCGUGUCCAACACUUUCACUGGAGAGAGAGAGAGAGAAAGAAGAGACGUCACAGAGUGAGAGGAAAGAUUUGAAGAGUGGAACAAAGACACCAGCAGAAAAAAGUACAUUUAUAUAUAAAAAAAUAUCUAACCGUACUAUCAAACAUCCACACCCAGUUCCAUCUAAACCAACUCUACAUCCAAACCCCAAACACCAGUUUGGAGGUUCCAUCAAAACAGCCACAUCCGGCAAGUGUGACUCACACAGCCACAUGAGAAGCAGUCUUACUCUGUAUAAAAUGUCUUACUUAUAGCUUACUUACUCUUACAUUACAGAGAGUAAAUCCAGUAUUGUACACUAUAAAUCCAGUAUUGUACACUAUUCGAGCUUAAUGUUAUGUGGAAUAAAGGCACUGUAUUUAUAAAGAAAAUAAAAGCCAAA